UCACUCUAUGAGGUUUUGAAGUUUGAUUGAAACGUAUACUGAAGAGUCACAUAGAUGAUAUUUUUAAGAAAUAGGAUUUGAUGGCAAUCUGUAUGCAAAGGAACUAAAGACGAGAGCCCCAGUUGGCAUGCUCAGGGAGCUACUUUGAGCAACUGUGCCCAGCACCUGGGAGGCAAAGAACUCUACAGAGGCCAGCAAGUCAACAUUCCACCAGGAACACUGUGGCUAGAGUUCAACAAAUUCAGCUGUGAUCUUUCCACACCCUCCAUCCAGGCUUGCACCCAAGCCCCUCCUUCUUCACUACUGAACAUUACACUGAAAUAACCCAGUCUCUCUUUUCAUCCUUCCCUAGUUGCUCCCUACUCUUCCCUCUUCCAUGCCUCCCAUCUGUAAGGCUCUCCACUGUGCCUUGAGAAACUCCUGUUUCUAUAAGGAACUAACUCCCUUUGGUCUACAAACAAUUCCCUGAGCAUUCCCCCCAAAUUAUUAACAAAUGAAAUUAUUAGCUUUCUUUCCAAACCUUAUUUCAUUAGACACCAACCUUAGAUCACCCCCUAAAUCAUCUAGACACCAACCUUGGGGUGAACA
Molecule: long non-coding RNA, 588 nt
Organism: Bubalus bubalis (water buffalo)
Lineage: Eukaryota; Metazoa; Chordata; Mammalia; Artiodactyla; Bovidae
Exons: 2
Source: RefSeq, a predicted model, not a curated record